GGGGGAGUAGUUAAUAUUAACAUUUAAUUUGCAAUUAAAAAAUAUCAAUUUAAACCAAUUGAUCUUCCUCA
RNAcentral lists this transfer RNA (71 nucleotides) under Calacta lugubris. RNAcentral describes it as "tRNA-Ala". The record is from RNAcentral. Lineage: Eukaryota; Metazoa; Arthropoda; Insecta; Hemiptera; Plataspidae.